CGCGCAGGCGGUUUGGUUAGUCAGAUGUGAAAGCCCGGGGCUCAACCUCGGAAGUGCAUUUGAUACUGCCUAACUUGAGUAUGGGAGAGGGAAGUGGAAUUCCUGGUGUAGAGGUGAAAUUCGUAGAUAUCAGGAGGAACACCGGUGGCGAAGGCGACUUCCUGGACCAAUACUGACGCUGAGGCGCGAAGGCGUGGGGAGCAAACA
Molecule: ribosomal RNA, 207 nt
Filed under: uncultured bacterium
Lineage: Bacteria
Description: partial 16S ribosomal RNA
Rfam family: Bacterial small subunit ribosomal RNA
Source: RNAcentral